Molecule: ribosomal RNA, 616 nt
Filed under: Curvularia hawaiiensis
Lineage: Eukaryota; Fungi; Ascomycota; Dothideomycetes; Pleosporales; Pleosporaceae
Description: eukaryotic LSU rRNA
Rfam family: Eukaryotic large subunit ribosomal RNA
Source: RNAcentral
GCAUAUCAAUAAGCGGAGGAAAAGAAACCAACAGGGAUUGCCCUAGUAACGGCGAGUGAAGCGGCAACAGCUCAAAUUUGAAAUCUGGCUCUUUUAGAGUCCGAGUUGUAAUUUGCAGAGGGCGCUUUGGCUUUGGCAGCGGUCCAAGUUCCUUGGAACAGGACGUCACAGAGGGUGAGAAUCCCGUACGUGGUCGCUAGCUAUUGCCGUGUAAAGCCCCUUCGACGAGUCGAGUUGUUUGGGAAUGCAGCUCUAAAUGGGAGGUAAAUUUCUUCUAAAGCUAAAUAUUGGCCAGAGACCGAUAGCGCACAAGUAGAGUGAUCGAAAGAUGAAAAGCACUUUGGAAAGAGAGUCAAACAGCACGUGAAAUUGUUGAAAGGGAAGCGCUUGCAGCCAGACUUGCUUGCAGUUGCUCAUCCGGGCUUUUGCCCGGUGCACUCUUCUGCAGGCAGGCCAGCAUCAGUUUGGGCGGUGGGAUAAAGGUCUCUGUCACGUACCUUCCUUCGGGUUGGCCAUAUAGGGGAGACGUCAUACCACCAGCCUGGACUGAGGUCCGCGCAUCUGCUAGGAUGCUGGCGUAAUGGCUGUAAGCGGCCCGUCUUGGAAAACACGGACC